AGAGUUUGAUCCUGGCUCAGGACGAACGCUGGCGGCGCGCCUAACACAUGCAAGUCGAACGAGCGAGAGAGAGCUUGCUUUCUCGAGCGAGUGGCGAACGGGUGAGUAACGCGUGAGGAACCUGCCUCAAAGAGGGGGACAACAGUUGGAAACGACUGCUAAUACCGCAUAAGCCCACGGGUCGGCAUCGACCAGGGGGAAAAGGAGCAAUCCGCUCUGAGAUGGCCUCGCGUCCGAUUAGCUAGUUGGUGAGGUAAUGGCCCACCAAGGCAACGAUCGGUAGCCGGACUGAGAGGUUGAACGGCCACAUUGGGACUGAGACACGGCCCAGACUCCUACGGGAGGCAGCAGUGGGGAAUAUUGCACAAUGGGGGAAACCCUGAUGCAGCGACGCCGCGUGGAGGAAGAAGGUCUUCGGAUUGUAAACUCCUGUUGUUGGGGAAGAUAAUGACGGUACCCAACAAGGAAGUGACGGCUAACUACGUGCCAGCAGCCGCGGUAAAACGUAGGUCACAAGCGUUGUCCGGAAUCACUGGGUGUAAAGGGAGCGCAGGCGGGAAGACAAGUUGGAAGUGAAAUCUAUGGGCUCAACCCAUAAACUGCUUUCAAAACUGUUUUUCUUGAGUAGUGCAGAGGUAGGCGGAAUUCCGGUGUAGCGUGGAAUGCGUAGAUAUCGGGAGGAACCCAGUGCGAAGGCGUACUGGGCACACUGACGCUGGCUCGAAAGUGUGGGUAGCAAACAGGAUUAGAUACCCUGGUAGUCCACACCGUAAACGAUGAUUACUAGGUGUUGGAGGAUUGACCCCUUCAGUGCCGCAGUUAACACAAUAAGUAAUCCACCUGGGGAGUACGACCGCAAGGUUGAAACUCAAAGGAAUUGACGGGGGCCCGCACAAGCAGUGGAGUAUGUGGUUUAAUUCGACGCAACGCGAAGAACCUUACCAAGUCUUGACAUCCCUUGACAGACAUAGAAAUAUGUAUUCUCUUCGGAGCAAGGAGACAGGUGGUGCAUGGUUGUCGUCAGCUCGUGUCGUGAGAUGUUGGGUUAAGUCCCGCAACGAGCGCAACCCUUAUGGUCAGUUACUACGCAAGAGGACUCUGGCCAGACUGCCGUUGACAAAACGGAGGAAGGUGGGGAUGACGUCAAAUCAUCAUGCCCUUUAUGACUUGGGCUACACACGUACUACAAUGGCGUUAAACAAAGAGAAGCAAGACCGCGAGGUGGAGCAAAACUCAGAAACAACGUCCCAGUUCGGACUGCAGGCUGCAACUCGCCUGCACGAAGUCGGAAUUGCUAGUAAUCGUGGAUCAGCAUGCCACGGUGAAUACGUUCCCGGGCCUUGCACACACCGCCCGUC
RNAcentral lists this ribosomal RNA (1358 nucleotides) under uncultured bacterium. RNAcentral's name for it is "bacterial SSU rRNA". It matches the Rfam family "Bacterial small subunit ribosomal RNA". The record is from RNAcentral.